Molecule: ribosomal RNA, 498 nt
Filed under: uncultured bacterium
Lineage: Bacteria
Description: partial 16S ribosomal RNA
Rfam family: Bacterial small subunit ribosomal RNA
Source: RNAcentral
AUUGAACGCUGGCGGCAUGCCUUACACAUGCAAGUCGAACGGUAACGCGGGGCAACCUGGCGACGAGUGGCGAACGGGUGAGUAAUGUAUCGGAACGUGCCCAGUUGUGGGGGAUAACUGCUCGAAAGAGCAGCUAAUACCGCAUACGACCUGAGGGUGAAAGCGGGGGAUCGCAAGACCUCGCGCAAUUGGAGCGGCCGAUAUCAGAUUAGGUAGGUGGUGGGGUAAAGGCUCACCAAGCCGACGAUCUGUAGCUGGGCUGAGAGGACGACCGGCCACACUGGGACUGAGACACGGCCCAGACUCCGACGGGAGGCAGCAGUGGGGAAUUUUGGACAAUGGACGCAAGUCUGAUCCAGCCAUGCCGCGUGCGGGAAGAAGGCCUUCGGGUUGUAAACCGCUUUUGUCAGGGAAGAAACGCUCUGGGUUAAUACCUCGGGGUAAUGACGGUACCUGAAGAAUAAGCACCGGCUAACUACGUGCCAGCAGCCGCCGUAA